Molecule: long non-coding RNA, 715 nt
Filed under: Mytilus galloprovincialis (Mediterranean mussel)
Lineage: Eukaryota; Metazoa; Mollusca; Bivalvia; Mytilida; Mytilidae
Source: RNAcentral
CGGCAUAUCAAAGAACCCCAAUUAUUCAAUUUUGAUGAAAUCAAACAAAGUUUAAUUUUGGACCCUUUGGGCCCCUUAUUCUGUUGGGAACCAAAAACUCCCAAAAUCAAUACCAACCUUCCUUUUAUGGUCAUAAACCUUGUGUUUAAAUUUCAUAGAUUUCUAUUUACUUAUACUAACGUUAUGGUGCGAAAACCAAGAAAAAUGCUUAUUUGGGUCCCUUUUUGGCCCCUAAUUCCUAAACUGUUGGGACCUAAACUCCCAAAAUCAAUACCAACCUUCCUUUUGUAGUCAUUAACAUUGUGUUUAAAUUUCAUUGAUUUCUAUUUACUUAAACUAAAGUUAUUGUGUGAAAACCAAGAAUAAUGAUUAUUUGGGCCCUUUUUUGGCCCCUAAUUCCUAAACUGUUGAAACCUAAACUCCCAAAAUCAAUCCCAACCGUUCUUUUGUGGUCAUAAACCUUGUGUCAAAAUUUCAUAGAUUUCUAUUAACUUAAACUAAAGUUAUAGUGCGAAAACCAAGAAAAUGCUUAUUUGGGCCCUUUUUGGCCCCUAAUUCCUAAAAUGUUGGGACCAAAACUCCUAAAAUCAAUACCAACCUUCCUUUUGUGGUCAUAAACCUUGUGUUAAAAUUUCAUAGAUUUCCAUUCACUUUUACUAAAGUUAGAGUGCGAAAACUAAAAGUAUUCGGACGCCGGACGACGACGACGACGACG